This 302-nucleotide ribosomal RNA is filed under the name uncultured bacterium. RNAcentral describes it as "bacterial SSU rRNA". It matches the Rfam family "Bacterial small subunit ribosomal RNA", at positions 28 to 310 of the family's 1533-position model. The record is from RNAcentral.
GAUGAACGCUGGCGGCGUGCUUAACACAUGCAAGUCGAACGAAGCACUUUACUUGAUUUUCUUCGGAACUGAUUGUAUUGUGACUGAGUGGCGGACGGGUGAGUAACGCGUGGAUAACCUGCCUCACACAGGGGGAUAACAGUUGGAAACGGCUGCUAAUACCGCAUAAGCGCACAGCACCGCAUGGUGCAGUGUGAAAAACUCCGGUGGUGUGAGAUGGAUCCGCGUCUGAUUAGGCAGUUGGCGGGGUAACGGCCCACCAAACCGACGAUGGAUAGGGGUUCUGAGAGGAAGGUCCCCCA